RNAcentral lists this ribosomal RNA (425 nucleotides) under uncultured bacterium. Its description in RNAcentral is "bacterial SSU rRNA". It matches the Rfam family "Bacterial small subunit ribosomal RNA", at positions 355 to 796 of the family's 1533-position model. The record is from RNAcentral.
CAAGGGAUUUUCCGCAAUGGGGGCAACCCUGACGGAGCAACGCCGCGUGCGGGAUGACGCCUCUUGGGGUGUAAACCGCUUUUGCCGGGGAAGAGAACGGACGGUACCCGGCGAAUCAGGACCGGCUAACUACGUGCCAGCAGCCGCGGUAAUACGUAGGGUCCGAGCGUUGUCCGGAGUGACUGGGCGUAAAGCGCGCGCAGGCGGCCCGCGAGGUGUCACGUGAAAGCCCCGAGCUCAACUCGGGAGGGUCGUGGCAAACCGGCGGGCUUGAGGCCGGUAGAGGUGGGUGGAACUCCUGGUGGAGUGGUGAAAUGCGUAGAGAUCAGGAAGAACACCCGUGGCGAAGGCGGCCCACUGGGCCGGACCUGACGCUGAGGCGCGAAGGCGUGGGGAGCGAACGGGAUUAGAUACCCCCGUAGUCC